GGGGUCAUGGCGGAAUAGGCAGACGCAACGGACUUAAAAUCCGUUGGGAGAUAAUCCCGUGAGGGUUCAAGUCCCUCUGACCCCACCA
RNAcentral lists this transfer RNA (88 nucleotides) under Faecalicoccus sp. RNAcentral describes it as "tRNA-Leu". It matches the Rfam family "tRNA". Rfam says of the family: Transfer RNA (tRNA) molecules are approximately 80 nucleotides in length. Their secondary structure includes four short double-helical elements and three loops (D, anti-codon, and T loops). Lineage: Bacteria; Bacillati; Bacillota; Erysipelotrichia; Erysipelotrichales; Erysipelotrichaceae. RNAcentral also lists the same sequence under 1 other name. The record is from RNAcentral.